RNAcentral lists this ribosomal RNA (1312 nucleotides) under metagenome. Its description in RNAcentral is "bacterial LSU rRNA". It matches the Rfam family "Bacterial large subunit ribosomal RNA", at positions 1593 to 2925 of the family's 2925-position model. The record is from RNAcentral.
AUCUGAUUCCAGCUGCCGAGAAAAGCCGCUAUUGUGUAUCAUGUGCCCGUACCGUAAACCGACACAGGUGGAUGAGGAGAGAAUCCUAAGGCCGGCGGGAGAAGCAUUGUUAAGGAACUCGGCAAAAUGACCCCGUAACUUCGGGAUAAGGGGUGCCAGAGAGAUCUGGCCGCAGAGAAUAGGCUCAAGCAACUGUUUAGCAAAAACACAGGUCUAUGCGAAACCGUAAGGUGAUGUAUAUGGGCUGACGCCUGCCCGGUGCUGGAAGGUUAAGAGGAGAGGUUAGAGCAAUCGAAGCUUUGAAUUGAAGCCCCAGUAAACGGCGGCCGUAACAAUAACGGUCCUAAGGUAGCGAAAUUCCUUGUCGGGUAAGUUCCGACCCGCACGAAAGGCGUAACGAUUUGAGCGCUGUCUCGACAAUGCACCCGGUGAAAUUGAAAUACCAGUGAAGAUGCUGGUUACCUGCGCCAGGACGGAAAGACCCCAUGGAGCUUUACUCCAGCUUGAUACUGGGAUUCGGUAAUGCAUGCACAGGAUAGGUGGGAGGCUACGAGUACGGAACUCCGGUUUCGUAUGAGCCGCUGUUGGGAUACCACCCUUGCGUUACUGGGUUUCUAACCAUGGUCCAUGAUCUGGAUCGGGGACAAUGUCAGGUGGGGAGUUUGACUGGGGCGGUCGCCUCCGAAAGGGUAUCGGAGGCGCUCAAAGGUUCCCUCAGAAUGGUUGGAAACCAUUCGAAGUGUGCAAAGGCAGAAGGGAGCUUGACUGCGAGACCGACGGGUCGAGCAGGUAGGAAACUAGGACUUAGUGAUCCGGUGGUAUGAAAGUGGGAUUGCCAUCGCUCAACGGAUAAAAGCUACCCUGGGAUAACAGGCUUAUCACUCCCAAGAGUUCACAUCGACGGAGUGGUUUGGCACCUGAUGUCGGCUCAUCGCAUCCUGGGGCUGAAGUAGGUCCCAAGGGUUGGGCUGUUCGCCCAUUAAAGCGGUACGCGAGCUGGGUUCAGAACGUCGUGAGACAGUUCGGUCCCUAUCCGGCGCAGGCGGAGGAUAUUUGAGAGGAGCUGUCCUUAGUACGAGAGGACCGGGAUGGACGGACCGCUGGUGUACCGGUUGAGCUGCUAAGCUCAUGGCCGGGUAGCCAAGUCUGGCAGGGAUAAGCGCUGAAGGCAUCUAAGCGUGAAGCCCCCCUCAAGAUGAGAUAUCCCAUUCGAAGGAAGUAAGACCCCUUGAAGACGACGAGGUAGAUAGGGCAGAGGUGGAAGUGCAGUAAUGCAUGGAGCUGACUGUUACUAAUCGGUCGAGGGCUUACC